RNAcentral lists this unclassified non-coding RNA (520 nucleotides) under Zea mays. RNAcentral's name for it is "misc RNA Zm00001eb326100". Lineage: Eukaryota; Viridiplantae; Streptophyta; Magnoliopsida; Poales; Poaceae. The record is from RNAcentral.
AAAAAAAAACUAGAGAGUUCAUCAGGCAGUCACGCGGCGGCUCUCCUCCGCAGGCAGUCGCGCGGCGGCCUCAUCCCCGCCGGCGAGCCUCCGCUCCCCUCCGCCGGUACGCCUCUAUCGCCGGUGGCCUCCCCCUCGGCUGAAAUGCGGUCCUUGUUGCUGGCCAUUGCUGCAGCUGGUGCAGAAAGGUCCGGCGACGGAUGUGGCCGGACGUCCCGUAUCCACAGCGACGAACGCGUCGAACCCGUGGUGGCUGACGUUCGAGAAGGCCAUCGCCUCCGCAGGUGGGGAGCUGUCUAAGCCUGAGAUCCUGUCUUCGACCACGGACUCACGCUUUGCGAGGCAGCUGGGCAUCCCUGCCCUCGGGUUUUCUCCGAUGACCAGUACGCCGAUACUGCUACAUGACCAUAACGAGGUAAAUUAGUUGAACUCCUGAGCUGAGACCAGGCCGCGCUAUCUACCCGCUCUCCUUCCUUGCCUUGUCCAGCAGAACCAUGUUUUUUCCCCUUGUAUCUCGGUG